RNAcentral lists this non-coding RNA (86 nucleotides) under Pseudomonas asplenii. The record is from RNAcentral. Lineage: Bacteria; Pseudomonadati; Pseudomonadota; Gammaproteobacteria; Pseudomonadales; Pseudomonadaceae.
CUUCAUGGCGGCUGUGCGUGGGGCACCCUCGGGUGCGCCGGUUUCCUAUUGGCCGGUCUGCUAACCCGCGUACAGCUGCCACCCAC